Long non-coding RNA from Nelumbo nucifera (sacred lotus), 2453 nucleotides. RefSeq lists it as uncharacterized. NCBI's taxonomy places the organism in Eukaryota, Viridiplantae, Streptophyta, Magnoliopsida, Proteales, Nelumbonaceae. The record is from RefSeq and is a predicted model, not a curated record.
UCCGAUUCAGAUUUGUAUCCGUUUGGUUAAGUUUCAAAAAUGCAUCGAUUUUCGAUACAAUUUUGUAUAUCUUCUUAGGUUUGUAUCGAACAUAGGAGAAAAUAUUGCUUCUAUGGUUGGUUGAAGUAAAUAGGUUUUGAGUUUUUCCAAAACCCUCGAAAGAGAGAGAGAGAGAGAACAGCGAGUAACUACAUAGAUAUUUUUUUCGAGAUAGAGGAGAACGGCGAGUGACUCUCAACUGCGAGCAACUGCGUAGAAACUGAGUAGAACGACUCUGAACUGCCUUCGUUUUCACAGAGGUCGUGUUCGAUCAAUUUUUCCAUUUGUUGGAUUUUCUGUUUUAAGAGAGAGUCUUAACCUCUUCGUUUCUAGGUAAUGUUCCAUCUAUCUUGCUAUCUACUUCCAUUUUUGGAUACUAGAGUUAUUACUUGUCUGUUGAUUUAUUUUUGAUUGAUUAAGUGCAUUGGAACUUUUUGAUUUCACCGCAUUCUAGAGUUAUUGCUUCUCUCAUCCUUCAUUUUUCUUUGCUUCUUCAAAUGUACCUUAUCACUCAUUCCCUUCUGUUAAGUCAAAAUCUCCAGACCGAAGCCUAAGAUAAUUCAGUGACUAAAAGGAUUACAUAAUCCAAUUAAGACUCAAGUGAUUCUGCAUACUUGUAACACAUAUGUUUGAGAUUUCUAGCACAAAGGGCAAAAUGUUGGUUAACAUGGGCUAAGUCUGAAGGGCCAUUCAAAGGCUAAGCAACAACUCUUGUUAGCAGACAAAAAGCCAUGUGGAUCACCUCUUACAAUUGAAGACCUCAAUGCCAUGCCAUAUGCUUCUAAGCAUUUGGGAUUUUCCCUUUUGCUGUCUUUGGUGGCAGGUCUGAUCCUCCUAGGGAGGUUAUGAGGCUUUUCUACUAUUCUUUCUUCUCACAAAAGAAAAAAAAGAGGAAAGAUUCUUUGGAUGAGGGCAGCUUUCCUAUGCUCAAUAUGGGAAGAACGGAACAAUAGGAUUUUUAAAGACAAAUCUCAGUCCAAAUGGAUCCUUAUGGAAAUCAUAUCCACGGAAGUUGCUCAUUAGAUGAAGUCUAUGACAGUUGAAGUUCCAACCUCCCGUCUUGUGAUUAUUUACGGCAUCUAUGCUUUGAGUGAAAAGUUGCGACCUCUUCUGGACCUUCUGGUGGAGUUCACUUUGACCGUGUAAAACGGGUUUUACGUGACAUACAACAUGCUGGACAAGAACCGAAAGAAAUAAUCCAUCGAAUCUUUGAAAUGGUUCUUUCACUUGCCCCAUGUUAGAUGUUUUUCUUUAGAAAGUUUUGAUUGUGUGAUAAUGGUCACACAAUGUCUUUUUAGAUGUUUUCUUUAGAUGUUAGAUGUUUUCCAAGAGGGUCUCUGAAAUUCUAUGCUAGCCUAGCUGCUUUGAGAAAAUACUUCAAUGUGGCUACACUACAUGAUAAUGGUCAUAGUGAAGCUGAAAACCUGAGGGAAAAGUUUUAUGAUAAAGUGGUUGAUGAAGGAGACAAUCAUAAAUAUUUUGACAAAAAAUCAAUAUUUUGAUAUAGAUAGCUCAAUAAGCAGUGGCAAGGAGAAAGGUGAUGCAGAGAACGAUGAUAGAGUCAUGGUUGGUGCUGUUACAACAGCUCUGGGUGCAUCUGCUUUUUUGGUACACCAGCAGGUAAAGUUAUCAAAACCCUUCUCAUCCUCUACCAUAGCUUUCAUAUUCUCAUUGUUGGUUCUUCUGUUCUCUUAUGUGAUUUCUUUUAUAUGUCAGGAAGAGGUUCAUCCAUACAAUUUCCACAAAUUACUGUUAGUAGUAAUUAAUCAAUUGCUAUAAAUAUCAUCCCAGAUAUGAUCUUAAAAUUCGAUUUUCUUUGUAUAUCUCUAUAUGCAGAUGGUUUAAUUGGCACAUGGAAAUUGGGAAAUGAUCCCAGAUAUGAUCCAUCUCUUGUCCACAGGCCAAUUGGAUUCUUUUAUUUCAAGACUUACUUUGAUGUAUGCAGGAUGGUUUGUCACUAUUUUUUUUUUGUUCCUUUAUGUGGCAGGAUGCCCGGGCAGCUAAAUGCCUUUUAGAAGCUCCAUAGUUCCUAUUCAAAAAGAGUAGUUGUCGUUGGCGAGAAGAGGAGAGAGAAACUGGCUUACUUGGUAGAAGAGACCGUUGUAUUUACCAAGUUGCCCGUUGUAUGCCCGGAUAUCUUGUUAUUUUUUAUAUUUGUUUAAUGGUGGGAGUAGCUGUAACACCAUAUGGUAGCAAGAAACAGUUGUAUUUGCAUUGAUGGAAAUGUCAAACAUCCACAAAAAUUGUAUUCUUAUUUGCAUCUUUCAAAACAAAUGAGCUGAGUGCAAAGUGGGUGUGUAAAUCUUGAACCACUUUGCACUCACAUGAACCAAACAUUUUUGUUUUGCACUCUAUAAAUUUGUAUUCGUACUCCAACCAAACGGAGCCUUAUCAAUAACAUUCAUCCCAAAAUU